This 24-nucleotide microRNA is filed under the name Caenorhabditis elegans. RNAcentral's name for it is "cel-miR-268". Its record names the gene cel-miR-268. Lineage: Eukaryota; Metazoa; Nematoda; Chromadorea; Rhabditida; Rhabditidae. The record is from miRBase by way of RNAcentral.
GGCAAGAAUUAGAAGCAGUUUGGU